Molecule: small RNA, 25 nt
Filed under: Bombyx mori (domestic silkworm)
Lineage: Eukaryota; Metazoa; Arthropoda; Insecta; Lepidoptera; Bombycidae
Description: ovarian small RNA-8488
Source: RNAcentral
UGCACGACGCAAUUUCAUUGAGGGC